Molecule: ribosomal RNA, 464 nt
Filed under: Sicarius thomisoides
Lineage: Eukaryota; Metazoa; Arthropoda; Arachnida; Araneae; Sicariidae
Description: partial 16S ribosomal RNA
Rfam family: Bacterial large subunit ribosomal RNA
Source: RNAcentral
UGCUAAGGUAGCAUAAUAACCUGCCUCCUAAUUAGAGGAUAGAAUGAAAGGAAUAACGCCUCAUCAAUUUUCUAAAAAUUACAACACUAAUCUUAUCUAAAAGUAAAAAAGCUUUUAUAAUAUAGAAGGACAACAAGACCCUGACGAGCUAAAAUCAUAUUUGGCUGGGGCAGCCCAUAAACGACAACUUAAUAAACACCAUAAUACAGACCCAACAUUAUUGACAAAAAAUCAAGCUACCGCAGGGAUAACAGCAACACUAACCUCUAGAGUUCAUAUCUAAAGGUUAUCCUUUGACCUCGAUGUUGAAUUAAUGAUACUCUAUCUUAGAAAAAAAAGUACAAGUAGGUCUGUUCGACCUUUAAAUCAUUACAUGAUUUGAGUUCAGACCGGCGCAAGCCAGGUCAGAUUAUAUCCUCUAAUCAAACAAGUGUUAGUACGAAAGGACCACACAAUUAAUAGUA